CUCAAUGAAAUUUAAAUAGCCGCAAUACUCUUGUGCUAAGGUAGCAUAAUCAUUUGUCUUUUAAUUAAAGACUAGAAUAAAAGAUUUAACAUUUUUAUUACUCUCUCAAUUAUAAUUAUUUAAUUUAUCUUAAAUAUAAAAAGAUAUUUAUAAUACUAAAAGACGACAAGACCCUAUUGAACUUAACUAAAGUUUAACUGGGGCAGUUAAUUAAAUACAAUUUUAAUUUAAAUUAAAACAAAACCUAAUAUAAUUAAAUACAUCAAGUUACCAUAGGGAUAACAGCGUAAUAAUUUUCUAUAGUCCUUAUUUAAAAAACAAUUUGCGACCUCGAUGUUGAAUUAAUAAUCUAUUAAAUGCAACAAUUUAAUAAGAAAGUCUGUUCGACUU
Molecule: ribosomal RNA, 390 nt
Filed under: Inermocoelotes sp. ZZ880
Lineage: Eukaryota; Metazoa; Arthropoda; Arachnida; Araneae; Agelenidae
Description: partial 16S ribosomal RNA
Source: RNAcentral